UACAGAGGGGGCAAGCGUUGUUCGGAAUUACUGGGCGUAAAGGGCGCGUAGGCGGCCUUCUAAGUCGAACGUGAAAUCCCCGAGCUCAACUCGGGAACUGCGUCCGAUACUGGCAGGCUUGAAUCCGGGAGAGGGAUGCGGAAUUCCAGGUGUAGCGGUGAAAUGCGUAGAUAUCUGGAGGAACACCGGUGGCGAAGGCGGCAUCCUGGACCGGCAUUGACGCUGAGGCGCGAAAGCCAGGGGAGCAAACGGG
Molecule: ribosomal RNA, 253 nt
Filed under: uncultured bacterium
Lineage: Bacteria
Description: partial 16S ribosomal RNA
Rfam family: Bacterial small subunit ribosomal RNA
Source: RNAcentral